RNAcentral lists this ribosomal RNA (449 nucleotides) under uncultured Pseudomonas sp. Its description in RNAcentral is "bacterial SSU rRNA". It matches the Rfam family "Bacterial small subunit ribosomal RNA", at positions 936 to 1382 of the family's 1533-position model. Lineage: Bacteria; Pseudomonadati; Pseudomonadota; Gammaproteobacteria; Pseudomonadales; Pseudomonadaceae. The record is from RNAcentral.
AGCAUGUGGUUUAAUUCGAAGCAACGCGAAGAACCUUACCAGGCCUUGACAUGCAGAGAACUUUCCAGAGAUGGAUUGGUGCCUUCGGGAACUCUGACACAGGUGCUGCAUGGCUGUCGUCAGCUCGUGUCGUGAGAUGGUUGGGUUAACGUCCCGUAACGAGCGCAACCCUUGUCCUUAGUUACCAGCACGUUAUGGUGGGCACUCUAAGGAGACUGCCGGUGACAAACCGGAGGAAGGUGGGGAUGACGUCAAGUCAUCAUGGCCCUUACGGCCUGGGCUACACACGUGCUACAAUGGUCGGUACAAAGGGUUGCCAAGCCGCGAGGUGGAGCUAAUCCCAUAAAACCGAUCGUAGUCCGGAUCGCAGUCUGCAACUCGACUGCGUGAAGUCGGAAUCGCUAGUAAUCGUGAAUCAGAAUGUCACGGUGAAUACGUUCCCGGGCCUU